UGGCUAUUGUUUGUUUAUAAUUUAAUAACAACUCAUUAAUGUGAUUUACUCAAAAUUUCAACUAAUUGUUCUAAGAAAUGCACCUGUUUAACUGAAACAAUAACGUGUAUCACGAAAAAUAAAGUUUUAUUUGGAAUAUAAUACAUUUAAGGAUCAGAAAUGCAACAGUUCUCCUCUUUUACGUCUUGCAAAUACAAUGUAGCAGUAUUAACAAAAGUGCUUAUUACAUGAAAUUAUAUUCUCAUGAAAGUGCAAUUUCUGACCAUAACCCAAGAAAAUGGAUAUGUGGAUAUUACAUUCCUAAAAAAAGUGGUUAAUGCCUUUGUUACAAAGCUUGUUAAAGAUUUAAAUGAUUGAUUGAAGUGUUCGUCAUU
Long non-coding RNA from Agrilus planipennis (emerald ash borer), 374 nucleotides. RefSeq lists it as uncharacterized. The transcript is spliced from 3 exons. The record is from RefSeq and is a predicted model, not a curated record. NCBI's taxonomy places the organism in Eukaryota, Metazoa, Arthropoda, Insecta, Coleoptera, Buprestidae.